RNAcentral lists this ribosomal RNA (484 nucleotides) under uncultured bacterium. Its description in RNAcentral is "partial 16S ribosomal RNA". It matches the Rfam family "Bacterial small subunit ribosomal RNA", at positions 28 to 507 of the family's 1533-position model. The record is from RNAcentral.
AUUGAACGCUGGCGGCAUGCUUUACACAUGCAAGUCGAACGGCAGCGCGGGCUUCGGCCUGGCGGCGAGUGGCGAACGGGUGAGUAAUGCAUCGGAACGUGCCCAGUAGUGGGGGAUAGCCCGGCGAAAGCCGGAUUAAUACCGCAUACGACCUGAGGGUGAAAGCGGGGGACCGAAAGGCCUCGCGCUAUUGGAGCGGCCGAUGUCGGAUUAGCUAGUUGGUGGGGUAAAGGCUUACCAAGGCGACGAUCCGUAGCUGGUCUGAGAGGACGACCAGCCACACUGGGGCUGAGGCACGGCCCAGACUCCUACGGGAGGCGGCAGUGGGGAAUUUUGGACAAUGGGGGCAACCCUGAUCCAGCCAUGCCGCGUGCGGGAAGAAGGCCUUCGGGUUGUAAACCGCUUUUGUUCGGGAAGAAAUCCUCUGGGCUAAUACCCCGGGGGGAUGACGGUACCGGAAGAAUAAGCACCGGCUAACUACGUG